CCUCCCCUCCAGAGCGUUCCUUCACCCAGUGAAACACGACAUCUCAUUACUGUUAAGGAUGUGAAAUGAUGCAGACAACAUUUUUCUUGAUCGUUGUCAUUUUGCUGUCUGGGCAGGCAGAAACUACAGAAAUCCCCAAUUUGACGACGGAAGAUUAUGUCGGAGUGCGUUUAGUUGGUGGAAACAGUUACCGGGAAGGGCGAGUAAUGGUCUACUACGACGGACGCUGGGGAACGAUAUGUGACCACGAGUUUGAUGAUAAUGAUGCUCGAGUUGUAUGCCGCAUGCUUGGACAUGGUGACCGAUAUGCCAAAGCUUAUGGCGGCGCCUGUUUUGGUGAAGGUAGCGGCAUGAUCUGGCUGAAUCACCUGCACUGUCAAGGGACUGAAUCCUCCUUAGCUCAGUGCUAUAAGGGAUACGGCUGGGGGUAAUUCCCACUGUUCACAUAGCGAGGACGUCGGGGUAUCUUGUGGUUUUUCAUACAGACGCUCCUGUACCAACUACAAUUAUACUACGAGUUGGCCAACUUCUGAAAGCCCUACAAUAGAAACGGUUUCUCCACCGAACCCUUGCUCGUACAAUCCAUGUUACAAUGGAGGUACAUGUGUCCCACAAAGAUCUUACUACUGGCCUUAUAACUAUGUGGACUACAACUGCACAUGCCCCUGGGCGAGAUACGGGAAGAGAUGUGAAUAUUACGGGUGGCAAACUACCGAAGGUCCCACGACAGAAUCGGUAACAUCA
This is a long non-coding RNA of Lingula anatina, 744 nucleotides long. Lineage: Eukaryota; Metazoa; Brachiopoda; Lingulata; Lingulida; Lingulidae. The record is from RefSeq and is a predicted model, not a curated record.